RNAcentral lists this long non-coding RNA (361 nucleotides) under Elaeis guineensis (African oil palm). RNAcentral's name for it is "long non-coding RNA (EGUI_LNC082011)". Lineage: Eukaryota; Viridiplantae; Streptophyta; Magnoliopsida; Arecales; Arecaceae. The record is from RNAcentral.
GCCCGGACUCCUAUGGGAGCCGGGCUCCGCCCUCAGUUUCAACUGCUGGUAAGCUCCAUCCGGACUCCUACGAGAGCCGGACUUCGCCUUUAAUUUUAAAUUGCAGGAAGACUUCACCCGUGCUCUUAAGGGAGCCGAGCUUCAUCUCCGACGCCAACGACUACAGCCGCAAGCAGACUCCGCCCGGACUCCUACGAGAGCCGGGUUCCGCCCGCAACUUUGGCUCCGAGAGGGUUCCGCCCGGACUCCCCCGGGAGUCGGGCUCCACCCACGACCCCAACCGCCAGGAGGACCUCUCCCGGACCUCAACAGAAAUCGGGCUCCGGCCACUGCCGAGCUUCAAUCGAUAGAUCCACGCCCC